GAGUGUAUUUUAAUGUAAAAAACCUAUUAGAUCCUUUUCCAUAAUUAAAUCAAGUAUUAUUGAAAAUGACUUUGUAAUCAGAGUAUUAGACUGGCAAGAAGUAUUUCAUGUUUACCCGUACAAAACUUUUCAGUUUAACCUGCUAUCUGGCUAGACUGACCCACCCAUUUUGCCACCUAUAACAUUAUUUAAUUUCUACAGAUCAACAUGAGAGGACUUGAUGGGAUACAGGGCCCGGUAUAUCUUGGCACAAAAUGUGUUUUAAACCGACAAGCAUUAUACGGUUAUAUAUAUUAAUUGUAUUUGAAGAUUGAUUUUCAAUUAUCAUUUUACUUAAUUAAAAGCGGUUGAUUCAUGAAAACAUGUCUGGUCCAGUAAUUUGUUGCACAGGCCCAAAGAUAUACCCUUCCUCAUCCACUGGUAUAUAUAAUUGUAUAAAUGGACUGUGUUUAUUUACAGUGUUUAUGAGGACCUGUGUUAAUAAUCUGUCAUUUGAUGUGGCUUCUUACAUUCUGCAUUAAAGAAGGGGUUAGAUGUAAGGAUUUGAAACGGUAUUGAGUUGGUAGUGAAGAGCCGAAGAACCACAGGAUUCAUUGUGAAUUUCACUGUGUCUUCCAUAUCUCAAUACAGGAUUGCUUUUUCUUUUUUCUCUCCCUACCACACCAUUUUGCUACAGCAAGGGAGUCAUGCAUAUUGGAGACCAAGAUUAUCUGGAUGGAAGGGAAAAUGUCUAUGAGUUGCAGUUGCAUGUAUAAUGAUCAUUUAUCAGGGGUAAAUUCCAUUAGUAUGGGUUUAGAUACGGGUGAUUUGCUGAAAACACGAUACGAACGAUUGGAAGGAAAUUACCUUCACAGAAGAAUACCACCAAUACUGAUUUUCUUUCCAGUGUUGUUAAAAGCGUGUGCCCAGCCCGCCUAGGCGCAAUGUGAUGGCGAGGCAACCCUUUGCCGUCUUUGCUCCAUUUGGGGUCUUUUCGCAUUAAGAUCGCCUUCGCUUUUGACAACUUUGUCGAUUUCAUAUCUAAAUGUAGCAUCUCUAUUUCUCUUCUUACCAUGUAAAUUACUAACUUCUUAGUUUAUAGGCCCCGAGAAUCUUAUUCUAUCAUAGUCGUUUUCGCUCUUCUUGAUAACAGCUGUUGUAUUAACCAUUAACCUAAAAACUGGCAAACUAAGUAUGUAGCCUUAAGUUUAC
Molecule: long non-coding RNA, 1191 nt
Organism: Erigeron canadensis
Lineage: Eukaryota; Viridiplantae; Streptophyta; Magnoliopsida; Asterales; Asteraceae
Exons: 4
Source: RefSeq, a predicted model, not a curated record